CUGGCCCUGAAUCAAGACUAGCAGCUUACUGAAGCUGCUGGCUUCAGGCAGGAGCCUAAAGAAAUGUCUCUGAAUGGUCUGUUUAUCAUUUCAGAACUUUAGAAACGUAAUGUUCAAUUCCUUGAGAAGAAACAACA
Small nucleolar RNA from Ochotona princeps (American pika), 137 nucleotides. The record is from Ensembl. NCBI's taxonomy places the organism in Eukaryota, Metazoa, Chordata, Mammalia, Lagomorpha, Ochotonidae.